Molecule: ribosomal RNA, 393 nt
Filed under: uncultured bacterium
Lineage: Bacteria
Description: partial 16S ribosomal RNA
Rfam family: Bacterial small subunit ribosomal RNA
Source: RNAcentral
AUACGGAGGAUGCGAGCGUUAUCCGGAUUUAUUGGGUUUAAAGGGUGCGUAGGCGGACGAUUAAGUCAGCUGUGAAAGUUUGGGGCUCAACCUUAAAAUUGCAGUUGAUACUGGUUUCCUUGAGUACGGUAUAGGUGGGCGGAAUUCGUGGUGUAGCGGUGAAAUGCUUAGAUAUCACGAAGAACUCCGAUCGCGAAGGCAGCUCACCGGGCCGGAACUGACACUGAUGCUCGAAAGUGCGGGUAUCAAACAGGAUUAGAUACCCUGGUAGUCCGCACAGUAAACGAUGAAUACUCGCUGUUUGCGAUACACUGUAAGCGGCCAAGCGAAAGCGUUAAGUAUUCCACCUGGGGAGUACGCCGGCAACGGUGAAACUCAAAUGAAUUGGCGGGG